This is a long non-coding RNA of Colius striatus (speckled mousebird), 6234 nucleotides long. RefSeq lists it as uncharacterized. The record is from RefSeq and is a predicted model, not a curated record. NCBI's taxonomy places the organism in Eukaryota, Metazoa, Chordata, Aves, Coliiformes, Coliidae. The transcript has 2 exons.
AGGACCUGACAGAUGAGCUGUGAUGGAUUAAGCUUUGUUCUUUUCUGUCUCCAUUCUUACUCUUGUGAAGGUUGCUUCCUCUUUGGUGUGUACACCAGAAUGUGGCAUUUGUGCUGCAGUUGCUCAGGGAGCAAUACCUGCUGUGGUUGAAAGCAAGUCCCUCAUGUUUUCACCAAAACCAUCUUAAAAUAAUUGAUACUCACCUUCAGCUUAAUUGUUCCUUUAUCUAAAAAGAGAGAGAGAGAGUGUGUUAUUCUUGCCAAGCUCAGGUACUACCCUUUUAGACAUUUGUAGUUGAAUGAAACUCCCACAUCACGGAGCUGCUGACUGCAACACCCCUUCAGUAUGAUUUCACCUGAAGUAAUUUUCUUGCAUUGUGCAAAACUAUCUCCAGGGUGAGCAAGUUGGGCCCAGCACAGUUCUCUAAAUUAAACUAUGUCCACAUUUAUUCACAGCUUUUGUACAAGGUAAACUACAAAGUGCUUUAUGGUUAGAGUACCAUCAAGGCUGAGGUUCCAGCACAGAGCAUCCUGUACUCAUUGAAGUAUUUUGCUGUAAAAAGGACAUGUUCUCUUUUUGGAGUAGGAUAAUUCUCAAAACAAACAGUCACAGAAUUUAUUUUGAUGGCUGGAUACAGCCAUAUCUAAGAUUUCUCUCUAGCACAGGUUGUCCACAUGUGGAAGCAUCACCCCCUUUGAAUUACUCAACAAGUGUCAGCCAGUUUCAAAGACAAGGGGAGGAUGAAACCAGAUACAAUCUGUUCCAAGAAAGGAAAUGGCUUUUAUGUAACUCCCAGUUUUUACACAGAAAAGGCUUAAAACAUGAUGGUUAAAAAGCCUGAUUGCCUGAGCCCUGUCUACACUACAGCUUACACCAGUGUGAGCAGUGGAAGAACAGUGCUACUGGGUUUCAUUUUCCAUAAUGUAAACACAUUCAGUAGUAAGUUGGACAUAAUCAAACACUCUCAGUCCUUACAGGACAGAGAAGAAUCUGCCUUUAAAACACAACCCCACAAAAUAUUAUCCAACUUAUCCAAUUCCUCAAACAUUACCACAUCUUUCAGCAAUACUCAGGCCUGAAGAUGGAGAGGUUGCAUUUCCCACACUCAGCUUAAAACAAAGGUAGGAAAUGAUGAUGAUGAUGGUGGUGUCAUUUUUUUAUCCCUUCCCCAGCUGCCCAGGGUCACUCAUUCAGAUUUCAAAAGAAAGGAUAUUCACCGUAAAACAUUUCAAUAGCAGUUAUCUGGGGUCUCUGCAUGUCUUGAGGUUCCAAAAUUAUUAGUCUUGGAUGUUUGAGAUCACACACAUCUCAAAAUCACAGUAGCACAACCACCUGAGAAGUUUUACUAGAUAAGGAAUUAAUUCAUUUGGUUCCAGUUCCAUUAUCAUCUAAAGCAACUCUCCACGAGACUCUGAUGUGCUCUCACUGCAUCUCAACUUAGAAACUAGUUCUCAAGCUCAGAAUUGUAGGAACUUACCCAGAACUGUUCCAUGGCUUCGUGACACAGUUUCUCCUUUCACCACUAACUGAAUCUGAACUGUUGUCUCCUUGACAGAGUUAAAGAUGGUUACACUUAUCGCUUCCUCAACACCAGAGCGGAAAACAGAAGGUGCUGCAAUCAAAUAGCCCCUGAGAAGCAAAAUUGGAAGCAGACAGUCAAGAACAGCAACAAGAGUGUGAUUCUUAUUUAGUUAACUUGUCACAAAGAAGAGGAGACUCUCAGUGAUGAUAUUCAGCACUUUCUGGAUGUCAGACUCACAUCAACCUACCACAUCUAAACUUCCAGUUUCUACAGAAGGAGCUCAGAAACUACAACUACAAGACUGGGCUCAAAUUCUAACAUGUUUUUGUUCAAACAAUUCUAUCUUCCAAGUUUAAAAGUGGGCAAAAAGGACUUAUUUUAGCUGGCACAUACAGAGUUUUAAAGCCACCCCAGACGACCUCCCAUCUGCACUACAGUCCUUGUGCUGCUGAAUGGAAUCUAUACCAUUCCUGAAUGGCACCAUGCCAUGGACUUGUCAACUCGAAGGAUUACAGACUCUGAGCUCUUUGAUGCACUGGGCUGUAAGCAACACAUUUAUAUUCUCUUCAUGACACACCUUUCUGCUUUUUCUUCAGCCCCAAAGGAUUUUUUACAUGAGGCAAUUCCUCAUAUGACUCUUGAAGCCCUAUUUCUCAGCCCAUGCCUUUUUACAGCUCCAUGAGACAGUUUGGUUUAGUUCAUGAUUCAUUGUCACUCUGGGAUGAAGAUGAUGAUGAUUUACAGCCCUUAAAUCACCUUUUAUCAAAUUCCAGCCCCCUGUUUCUCACUCAGCAGGCCUCAUUGCCAUGGAGAUCUCAUUACCCCCAAAGGAAGUUCAGAUCUCUGUGGCAUUUGAGUUUAAUUGCACUGGGUAUUUACAGAUUCAAAACCUUGUGGUUGCCAGGUUUGAAAAUUCAUCAGAACAAUAACAAAUAACAACUAAAAGUUACUACUUUGUCUGUAAAUUCUUGGUAAGAAAGAAGCUGCAGAGGGAGUACCAUCUGCAUCCAGGAUGAAAUGAUUAGAUUAAAACUGUCAGAGAAGCACAGCACUGCAGUGCCAUAUGUGAAGCACAUGUAUUCACAUUGUUCUAAACUGCUGUGGCUCUUUCUGAAGCAUCAACCCAUCGGCACAGAUACUGAAAUCACUUCAUGAGGAGCGUUUGGACAUUAAAUAUUUAACUUGGCAAUUUAACAGUUAACUUGACAGUGACUGGACAGAUCCUUGAAGCACAUUUCACUAACAGCUCUGCCAGAUCACACCAAAACUUGGUAGAAAGAGAUAUUUACUACUAAGCAAAUGAAAAUAGGCUGUGGGUGGCUCUUCAUUAAUGCAGCUAUUCAUGGUGUUGAUGGGCUAGAAUAAGCCAUAGAUAAAGGAAAGAAAGCAGCAAACCUUGAUCAACGUUAACCUAAACACUCCAGAAGGAGCUGAGGACUCAAUUCCUAAAAGCCAGAAAGCUUUCCCCGCAGGGAAAUGUGACUUUCCACACAAGAAUCCUUCACGUGCUCUUACGGAGCAACCAUCAUUACCUUCAACCAUCCCAAACCCAACAGCAGCCCCUGCGCAACACCCCGGAUUCCUUAAAGAAUUGUUUGCAGAAGAAAGCUUUGCAGCCGCUUGCUGGAGCAGCUAGAGGCAGGUAUUUCUCCGGAGACUUUCUUUUCUUCCCCCCUCUCCUUUCUCUGUGCUGUGCACUUUUGCACCGGCGAGCACAAACGUGCUGCUGGGCUCAGGAGCAGCCGCCGCUCGCCUCCCCGACCUCAGCUCCUCGACGUGACUUUUCGCAGGCUUUGUUAAGUAGCUGGGGCAACCACUCCCGGAGCCCCUCGCAGAGAGGAGGGAGGCUCAUCCCUUCCUCUCCUUCCCCCAUCACCCCUUCCAGGGAGCCCGCCGCAGGCUGCGCGACCUUCUCUGGGUACUUACUGCCUCUCCCGGGGCUGGGCUGCGCUCAGGCUGCAGAGGGUCAGGAGGACCCCCCAGACGCAGCCGGGCUCUUGGCGGGGCAUGGUGCUGCGGGGCCCCAGGCCACGGCACUCUCCGAGGCCAGGAGGAGCCUUUUGUUCGCGGCGAGCGCAGCCCGAGCCUCCCCCGCCGCCCCGCUCCCGGGCUCGGCUCCCCGGUGCCUCCGGCCCCCGCCCCCGCCGCGUCCCCGCCCCCGGGCCGCCCCCUCCUGGCCCCGGUGCCCGCUCGGCUGCGGCCCCGGCUCUUUGUCUGCGGCUCCCCGCCUGCUCCUGACGGCGUGCACCGGGGGAGGGGGCCGGGCCCCGCACCUCCGCCUCCCGGCGCCGGGGCUCGGCUUGGCGCUGCCCGCUCCCAGGUGCGCUGCGCGCCCGGCCCCCGCGGGCUCCCGGCUGCAGCCGCCGCUCCUCGCCGCAGCCCCGACAGCCGAGCCCGGCCGGCAUCUGCUCCUCAACUGCCGCGCUCAGCAGCACCGGGAGACCAUCUGCCCGAGCGCUCUGCCUUCCUCCUCGACGGUGCCACACGCAGACUCCGCAGCUGCGAGAGCUGAGGUGCCUUAAAGCUGCCGUCAAGCCGCACCAGGCCAGAGCAGCCCCUGCGCGCUGCUCCCAUCGAGCGAGCUUUUGCACUCCACUGAGCCCCACCAAAGAGCUGCUUUCCAACUGAAAAUCCAGUGCCAGGGCUGAUGCGACUCCAUCCUCCUCUAUUCCUAGGCCCUCUCUGUCCAUCUCCAUCCCUCGGGCCUGACCCGUGGUUACCGGGGUUUGAGACAGGAGGGGGAGCUCUCGACUGCAUCAGGCUGAAGAAGGUGAGUCGAGUUGACACAAAUGGAGGAAAAGCACACCCAAAGCAAAAGCAAGGAUGCAAGGUGACAGAAUCAAUGCCGUGUCUCACGGAGAGGGAUUAAAUGCCACAUCAAGGAAUGAUUUCUCCAUCCCUUGCCAGAGACAACAUGGGCAAGCCAGGAUCCCAGGUGUGUGCUUCAGCAGAGCUGCCCUUGCCCCAGCAAUAACUGAAAACCCUUAAUGUAGGUAGUUUGAACGGAUUCUUUCCUCCAAUCCUCCACACCUGGCUUAAUGUAAACUACCAGGAAAACUGGAAAAAAAUAUUGAAUGCUAUUCUUUUCUUUCUCUGUCAGCUCCAGUGUUUGAAUCUCAGUUUCAUUUCUUCUACCAAUCACUGAGCAGCAUUUCGUUCAGCAAAAACACAGAUUUGUAUCCAAAAGGCAGCUCGAUUGUUCACCAAAGGCCCUUUCCUCUGGCUUCCAACAGGAAAAACAGCAAAUCAAGUUGUUAAAGCUGCCAAAUGUGUCAAUUACUUUUCACUCUCUUAAAAUUAUUUCAGUCACCAGCCAUUUUAUCAGGAUCAGUACCAGCAAACAUUUGCUGCAAGUCAGUCUCACCCAGAGGAGUGAGGAAGUUUCCCUGACUGCUUCAGCAAAUGGACUUCAGAGGCUGAUUGGUCCACAGCCAGGAGAGCAACAAAACAGUGCCUCAGGUUUUAUCUUGUUUGAAACUUAUACUGAUUUUAGUAUGACUUCUCUUUAGAUAAAUCACUGACUCCAUAGCUUUUUGAUAAGUUCAGGUUAUCUUCACUAAUGGCUGUCACUGGUAGAUGUGACUGCAUUUCCCUACUUCAGUCUACCUUAAAGCAGCAGCAUCAUAUCAUUACUGUGCUGAGGCAUAACAAAAGGGAACAGGUUUUAUCAAAUGAAGGAAAAAAUCCCCAAAGAAACUAGGCUAUGGCUUUAAAAAGUCUGCCUCACCUGAAAAUUCUUUAUACCAGGUGACAUUCUCAAAUCAAAAGGAUGAUGUGUUUUGCAAGGCUCAUCCCAGCUCUUAGGAUUGGACACAACACUUAAAAGCCACAGCCACACAAGUUUGGAAGGUUGUAAAGAAAUCACCUACAUAAACCACUCAUCACAUCAACAACCCUUGACUAAUUUUUCUCUACAGAUCUUGUUUCCAGACUUGUCCUAAUUGUCAAGACCAGGGUGGAAAACUAAAGGAGUUUUAUUCAAUAGAAUGAUAACAGCAGAUUUCUGCUCUCACUACUGAACAAGAAGUUUUUACAGACUGUUCACCACCUUGGGAAAGGCCAUUUGGAUUUCUUUUCAAUGGGAUUUUUCUCACUAAAGCUCAUCUGUGGGAGGAGCUGCAGAAUGACUUGGAGCAGUUUCCAGCCUUUAAUAUGACGUAAGCUGAAUGAAUUUUGCUCACUGUUGUGCUAUUUAAGCAAAACUGCUCCUCUCUUGCUCACUUCACUGCUCAUGUAUCUUUACAAAACAACUCUACAGCACCGACCAGGAGACUCUUUCAUCUGCCCCAAAUCGAGGGCACAUGAAAGAAAAGCACAAAGUCAACCAGAGGCCCUCCCAACACAUCUUUUCUCUCCAUGUGUAAAGUAAAUCACCAUUCUGUGAUUCUGGGAUGUAUUUUGCUAGAUUAUGCUUAUUAGUUGGACAGGAAUGCUCUCCACAAACCCUGCGGUGCUAUUCUCUGGGAUGAUGUCAGGUCAGUUGACAUUAGGCUGUUUUUAUGUAGAAUUAAGCACAAUGGCCACCAUUCUGUCUUUUUGAGAGCUGUAUUUUUCCACAAAUGUUUCACUGGAACAUUAGUUUUCUUUUUCUCUGUACUAAAUGCAACGAUGGCACAGCUGAGAUCCAACAUUUGCUUUUGCCAGCUCUGUUAAGCCUGGGUUGCACUUCUGUUUACAAUAUUCUUAAUAAAAUAACUCUGGUUUAUAAUGCA